Molecule: small nuclear RNA, 183 nt
Organism: Dipodomys ordii (Ord's kangaroo rat)
Lineage: Eukaryota; Metazoa; Chordata; Mammalia; Rodentia; Heteromyidae
Gene: U2
Rfam family: U2 spliceosomal RNA
About the family: U2 is a small nuclear RNA (snRNA) component of the spliceosome (involved in pre-mRNA splicing). Complementary binding between U2 snRNA (in an area lying towards the 5' end but 3' to hairpin I) and the branchpoint sequence (BPS) of the intron results the bulging out of an unpaired adenosine, on the BPS, which initiates a nucleophilic attack at the intronic 5' splice site, thus starting the first of two transesterification reactions that mediate splicing.
Source: Ensembl
AAUCCCUUUGGGCUAAAAUCAGGUAAAGUAUCUGUUCUCAUCAGUUUGAUAUCUGAUAUAUUUUCUACCCAAGGACAAUAUACUAAAUAGAUUUUUGGAGCAGGAAGAUUGAAUAGGAGCUUGCUCUGUUCACUCCACCCUUGGACCUGGCAUUGUAGUACCUUCAGUAACAGUGUAACUCGU